UACGUAGGUGGCAAGCGUUGUCCGGAUUUAUUGGGUUUAAAGGGUGCGUAGGCGGUUAUAUAAGUCAGUGCUGAAAUAUCCCGGCUUAACCGGGAGGGUGGCAUUGAUACUGUAUGACUUGAGUCGAGUUGAGGUUGGCGGAAUUGACGGUGUAGCGGUGAAAUGCUUAGAUAUCGUCAAGAACACCGAUAGUGAAGACAGCUAACUAAGCUCAAACUGACGCUGAGGCACGAAAGUGUGGGGAUCAAACAGGA
This 254-nucleotide ribosomal RNA is filed under the name uncultured prokaryote. RNAcentral describes it as "partial 16S ribosomal RNA". It matches the Rfam family "Bacterial small subunit ribosomal RNA", at positions 524 to 777 of the family's 1533-position model. The record is from RNAcentral.